GAGUUUGAUCCUGGCUCAGGAUGAACGCUAGCUGGAGGCUUAAUACAUGCAAGUCGAGCGGGAUUGGGUAGCAAUACCCAUGAGAGCGGCGCACGGGUGAGUAACGCGUACACGACCUACCUUUGACUGGGGGAUAGCCCUGGGAAACUGGGAUUAAUACCGCAUAUAAUUCUGAUUAAUAAAGGAUUGGAAUGAAAGUUCAGGCGGUCAGAGAUGGGUGUGCGUCUGAUUAGCUAGUUGGUGAGGUAACGGCUCACCAAGGCGAUGAUCAGUAGGGGGCGUGAGAGCGUGGUCCCCCACACAGGUACUGAGACACGGACCCGACUCCUACGGGAGGCAGCAGUAAGGAAUAUUGGUCAAUGGGCGAAAGCCUGAACCAGCCAUCCAGCGUGCAGGAAGAAGGCCCUAUGGGUUGUAAACUGCUUUUGUCAGGGAAUAAACCUGUGGAUUUAUCCGCAGCUGAAGGUACCUGAAGAAUAAGCACCGGCUAACUCCGUGCCAG
RNAcentral lists this ribosomal RNA (502 nucleotides) under uncultured Sphingobacterium sp. Its description in RNAcentral is "bacterial SSU rRNA". It matches the Rfam family "Bacterial small subunit ribosomal RNA", at positions 9 to 511 of the family's 1533-position model. The record is from RNAcentral. Lineage: Bacteria; Pseudomonadati; Bacteroidota; Sphingobacteriia; Sphingobacteriales; Sphingobacteriaceae.